GAGUUUGAUUCUGGCUCAGGAUGAACGCUAGCGGCAGGCUUAACACAUGCAAGUCGAGGGGCAGCAUGACACUUCGGUGUUGAUGGCGACCGGCGCACGGGUGCGUAACGCGUAUAGAACCUACCCAUAACAGGGGGAUAGCCUAAAGAAAUUUGGAUUAAUACCCCAUGGUGUAUUAGUGAGGCAUCUCAUUUUUAUUAAAGAUUUAUCGGUUAUAGAUGGCUAUGCGUUCUAUUAGUUUGUUGGUGGGGUAACGGCUCACCAAGGCUUCGAUAGAUAGGGGUUCUGAGAGGAAUGUCCCCCACACUGGUACUGAGACACGGAUCAGACUCCUACGGGAGGCAGCAGUGAGGAAUAUUGGACAAUGGGCGCAAGCCUGAUCCAGCCAUGCCGCGUGCAGGAAGAAGGCCUUAUGGGUUGUAAACUGCUUUUAUUCACGAGGAAUAAAUCUCUUGCGAGGGAUUUUGACGUUAGUGUUUGAAUAAGCACCGGCUAACUCCGUGCCAGCAGCCGCGGUAAUACGGAGGGUGCAAGCGUUAUUCGGAAUCAUUGGGUUUAAAGGGUUCGUAGGCGGAUUGGUAAGUCAGGGGUGAAAAGCUGCAGCUUAACUGUAGUCGUGCCUUUGAUACUGUCAGUCUUGAGUUAUAUUGAAGUAAGUAGAAUAUGUAGUGUAGCGGUGAAAUGCUUAGAUAUUACAUGGAAUACCGAUUGCGAAGGCAGCUUACUAAGUAUAUACUGACGCUGAUGAACGAAAGCGUGGAGAGCGAAGGGGAUUAGAUACCCCCGUAGUCCACGCUGUAAACGAUGGACACUAGUUGUUGGUAAUUUAUCAGUGACUAAGCGAAAGUAAUAAG
Molecule: ribosomal RNA, 854 nt
Filed under: uncultured Bacteroidota bacterium
Lineage: Bacteria; Pseudomonadati; Bacteroidota
Description: bacterial SSU rRNA
Rfam family: Bacterial small subunit ribosomal RNA
Source: RNAcentral